Molecule: ribosomal RNA, 480 nt
Filed under: uncultured bacterium
Lineage: Bacteria
Description: partial 16S ribosomal RNA
Rfam family: Bacterial small subunit ribosomal RNA
Source: RNAcentral
GAUGAACGCUAGCGGCAGGCCUAACACAUGCAAGUCGAGGGGUAGAAGGAGCUUGCUCCUUUGAGACCGGCGCACGGGUGCGUAACGCGUAUGCAAUCUACCUUGUACAGGGGAAUAGCCCAGAGAAAUUUGGAUUAAUGCCCCAUAGUAUAUAACCUUCGCAUGUUGGUUAUAUUAAAGUUCCAACGGUACAAGAUGAGCAUGCGUCCCAUUAGUUAGUUGGUAAGGUAACGGCUUACCAAGACGAUGAUGGGUAGGGGUCCUGAGAGGGAGAUCCCCCACACUGGUACUGAGACACGGACCAGACUCCUACGGGAGGCAGCAGUGAGGAAUAUUGGUCAAUGGUCGCAAGACUGAACCAGCCAUGCCGCGUGCAGGAAGACGGUCCUAUGGAUUGUAAACUGCUUUUAUGCAGGAAGAAACCCUCCCACGUGUGGGAGCUUGACGGUACUGUAGGAAUAAGGAUCGGCUAACUCCGUG